This 468-nucleotide ribosomal RNA is filed under the name uncultured bacterium. Its description in RNAcentral is "partial 16S ribosomal RNA". It matches the Rfam family "Bacterial small subunit ribosomal RNA", at positions 28 to 507 of the family's 1533-position model. The record is from RNAcentral.
GACGAACGCUGGCGGCGUGCUUAACACAUGCAAGUCGAACGGAAAGGCCCUGCUUUUGUGGGGUGCUCGAGUGGCGAACGGGUGAGUAACACGUGAGUAACCUGCCCUUGACUUUGGGAUAACUUCAGGAAACUGGGGCUAAUACCGGAUAGGAGCUCCUGCUGCAUGGUGGGGGUUGGAAAGUUUCGGCGGUUGGGGAUGGACUCGCGGCUUAUCAGCUUGUUGGUGGGGUAGUGGCUUACCAAGGCUUUGACGGGUAGCCGGCCUGAGAGGGUGACCGGCCACAUUGGGACUGCGAUAGGGCCCAGACUCCUACGGGAGGCAGCAGUGGGGAAUAUUGCACAAUGGGCGGACGCCUGAUGCAGCAACGCCGCGUGCGGGAUGACGGCCUUCGGGUUGUAAACCGCUUUCGCCUGUGACGAAGCGUGAGUGACGGUAAUGGGUAAAGAAGCACCGGCUAACUACGUG